RNAcentral lists this ribosomal RNA (253 nucleotides) under uncultured bacterium. RNAcentral describes it as "partial 16S ribosomal RNA". It matches the Rfam family "Bacterial small subunit ribosomal RNA", at positions 524 to 776 of the family's 1533-position model. The record is from RNAcentral.
UACGUAGGUGGCAAGCGUUGUCCGGCUUUAUUGGGUUUAAAGGGUGCGUAGGCGGCUUUGUAAGUCAGUGGUGAAAUAUGGCAGCUCAACUGUCAGGGUGCCAUUGAUACUGCGGAGCUUGAGUACAGAUGAGGUAGGCGGAAUUGACGGUGUAGCGGUGAAAUGCUUAGAUAUCGUCAAGAACACCUAUAGCGAAGGCAGCUUACUAGGCUGUAACUGACGCUGAGGCACGAAAGUGUGGGGAUCAAACAGG